RNAcentral lists this ribosomal RNA (809 nucleotides) under Algoriphagus sp. BAL344. RNAcentral describes it as "bacterial SSU rRNA". It matches the Rfam family "Bacterial small subunit ribosomal RNA", at positions 90 to 900 of the family's 1533-position model. The record is from RNAcentral. Lineage: Bacteria; Pseudomonadati; Bacteroidota; Cytophagia; Cytophagales; Cyclobacteriaceae.
UGAGAGUGGCGAACGGGUGCGUAACGCGUAUGCAACCUACCCUAUACAGGGGGAUAGCCCGGAGAAAUCUGGAUUAAUACCCCAUGGUAUCAUUGGACCGCAUGGUCUGAUGCUUAAAGAUUCAUCGGUAUAGGAUGGGCAUGCGUCUGAUUAGCUAGUUGGCGGUGUAACGGACCACCAAGGCUACGAUCAGUAGGGGUUCUGAGAGGAAGGUCCCCCACACUGGCACUGAGAUACGGGCCAGACUCCUACGGGAGGCAGCAGUAGGGAAUAUUGGGCAAUGGACGAGAGUCUGACCCAGCCAUGCCGCGUGCAGGAAGACGGCGUUCUGCGUUGUAAACUGCUUUUAUCUGGGAAGAAAAUGCCCCUGCGGGGGAAAUUGCCGGUACCAGAUGAAUAAGCACCGGCUAACUCCGUGCCAGCAGCCGCGGUAAUACGGAGGGUGCAAGCGUUGUCCGGAUUUAUUGGGUUUAAAGGGUGCGUAGGCGGCUGUUUAAGUCAGUGGUGAAAGACUCCGGCUCAACCGGAGCAGUGCCAUUGAUACUGGACAGCUUGAGUAUUGGAGGGGUACAUGGAAUUGAUGGUGUAGCGGUGAAAUGCAUAGAUACCAUCAGGAACACCGAUAGCGAAGGCAUUGUACUGGCCAAUAACUGACGCUGAUGCACGAAAGCAUGGGUAGCGAACAGGAUUAGAUACCCUGGUAGUCCAUGCCGUAAACGAUGAUUACUCGCUGUUAUGGCUUUAUGUUGUAGCGGCCAAGCGAAAGCGUUAAGUAAUCCACCUGGGGAGUACGCUCGCAAGAGUGAAAC